This 497-nucleotide ribosomal RNA is filed under the name uncultured bacterium. Its description in RNAcentral is "partial 16S ribosomal RNA". It matches the Rfam family "Bacterial small subunit ribosomal RNA", at positions 28 to 507 of the family's 1533-position model. The record is from RNAcentral.
GAUGAACGCUGGCGGCGUGCCUAAUACAUGCAAGUCGAGCGAACAGACGAGGAGCUUGCUCCUCUGACGUUAGCGGCGGACGGGUGAGUAACACGUGGAUAACCUCCCUAUAAGACUGGGAUAACUUCGGGAAACCGGAGCUAAUACCGGAUAAUAUAUUGAACCGCAUGGUUCAAUAGUGAAAGACGGUUUUGCUGUCACUUAUAGAUGGAUCCGCGCCGCAUUAGCUAGUUGGUAAGGUAACGGCUUACCAAGGCAACGAUGCGUAGCCGACCUGAGAGGGUGAUCGGCCACACUGGAACUGAGACACGGUCCAGACUCCUACGGGAGGCAGCAGUAGGGAAUCUUCCGCAAUGGGCGAAAGCCUGACGGAGCAACGCCGCGUGAGUGAUGAAGGUCUUCGGAUCGUAAAACUCUGUUAUUAGGGAAGAACAAAUGUGUAAGUAACUAUGCACGGCUUGACGGUACCUAAUCAGAAAGCCACGGCUAACUACGUG